CCCGCCCAUCUAGUGACAACACAACACUUGAUUGGUAAAAUCCAACAUACCAGUAAUUAUCACAAAAGAAUCAAUAAAUUGGUGACAAUAGAAACAUAUUAAUACAUUUAGAAAAGAAAAAGUUGUCAGGUGACACAAUAGGAGUCAGAUCUAAUGUUUUAGCAGAAUUCAGCGCUGAUCUAGAAAACAAUUGAAUGAGCAAUAUUCAUUAAGUCCAUUGGGGGAAAUUGUGCCAAGGGUUUUAAUCCAAAAGGAUUCACGUUGCAGUUUCCUGCUGAUAGGAGCAACCAGGGUCGGACUGAGGCCUCCAGGGUCUGUCCCAUUCCCUUCACCCUUGGAACAGACAGGGGAGCGGGUCCUGGGGCCACUGGCCCACUCUCACACUGGGAGCACUGGCUGGAGUAUCAGUACAUUGUCAGAUAAUCGGCAGUGAUAUCUGUACGUAUAUCUGUCCUGCCCUCACUGACAACAGACGGAUCUGGAAACGGUUUCAUUCAAAUCAUCUGUCUACUCGGGAGUGGGCUAUUACCUUGAAUGGACAGUACCAUAUGACAGAUAAGCCAAUUGUCUAUACUAUACAGACUCUGUAUGUAAGAAAUAUAAAGUAAAGGUCUAUGAUGGAUACAUUUGUAUUAAAAUAAUAUGUGCAGAAUGAAACAUUGUUAUAUGUUUUAAUGAUACUAUGUUAUAAUAUGGUCUGACACUAGGUGGCGGUGUAUUUUAGGCUAUUUAAAGCCAUGUGGUUAUUGAAUUUUAUGCUUGACAAAGAGUGGAGUGCCACUCGAAACGUUGCACUGUGUUGCUAUGCUGCUAUGCAAUGCUUUGCAAACAAUAAAGGCGGUCUUAAUGAAAAA
Xenopus laevis (African clawed frog) is the source of this 854-nucleotide long non-coding RNA. RefSeq lists it as uncharacterized. The record is from RefSeq and is a predicted model, not a curated record. NCBI's taxonomy places the organism in Eukaryota, Metazoa, Chordata, Amphibia, Anura, Pipidae. The transcript has 3 exons.